Molecule: non-coding RNA, 1214 nt
Organism: Camellia sinensis
Lineage: Eukaryota; Viridiplantae; Streptophyta; Magnoliopsida; Ericales; Theaceae
Source: RefSeq, a predicted model, not a curated record
CUUUCAUGAGAAAUGGUUAAAACAAGUUUUUAGGAUAACUUAAGAUUUUUUCAAAAAGAUUUGAUGAAAAGAAAAAAGAGAGUAGGAUUGCCGUGUUCUAUAUCAUAUCAAAAAUUUAACCAAAUUUCACUCAAAUUUGAUGAAAAAAAGAGUAAUGUUUGGAGAUGCUCCAAGGAGUCUACAUUUUAGUGGAAAGAAGAAUUUAUUUACUUCAUAUUCUGGUUGAAGAUUUGUGUGUUGAAGGGAUCAAGAAAUGCUACUUUCUUGAUUUUCUUGGGCCGAGAGGAUUUGCAGCGGAACUUUCGUGGCGAACUUCAUGCGAGGUGAUUGGGUUCGAUCAUAGAAAAUCAAUACUGUCCAAGAUUUCAUCUGACCAUGAUUGCAGUGGGAACCUCACAUUUCAUGUUGAUAUUGAGAAGAGCAGCUCGACUGCUGUGUAUGAAUACUUCUCUGCAAAACUUUCAGAGAUGAAAUACGGUGAUGGCAAUGCCAAAAGUUUAUUAAACCCCAAAGAUCGAGAUUGCAUGGAAUUGGUUCUUAAGUACAUUGAAGAUGCAGAUCUUCGCCGAUGGAUUUUACCAAACAUUAAAGCUUUUAACAUUAGACUUGGUAAAUGGCAUUCUAUGUUGAACUGCAUCACUAAUCCACACAUGUAUGAACAGUUACUGGAGAUAAGCUCUGCAGAUUUAAUUGGCAUGGGAAUUUCUUAUAUAUCUACUCAGCAGGAUGCUGUGAAAAAAUUGCUGGAUAAGGUUUUCAAAGUUCAUUUAGGCAGAGGAUUUUAUGGGGAGUGUCUGGGAGUAAGAGCUGAUGGAAAUUCUAAUUUAAGUGAUGAAAUUGGCAAGGAACUUAGCAUAAAGAGUGCUGCUGCUGGAUUGAGGCCCAUAGGAGCUGUUGGUUACAUGCAACGAAAUAAUCUUAAAUGUGCUUAAGGAGUACCGAUACUGCUACUGAUACCUCUGAAGUUGCAAAGGCAUAUGGUGGAGGAGGUUCCCCAAGUUCCAGCUCCUUUAUAAUAAGGAUGGAUGAGUAUAACCAGUGGCUCUCAGUACACCAACCAUGAAAACAUUAAGCUUGUGCAGGGUAAGGAAAUGAUACAUUAUUUACUUAUCAUGAUGCAAAGCAAACACAUAAAUGAAGCGACUAAAAGAGACUACUCAGGCACCUGAUUUGUUGUAGCAGUUAUGAUGCUGAUUGGAAGGGUGAAAAUGAAG